Molecule: microRNA, 23 nt
Filed under: Hordeum vulgare
Lineage: Eukaryota; Viridiplantae; Streptophyta; Magnoliopsida; Poales; Poaceae
Description: hvu-miR6199
Source: miRBase by way of RNAcentral
CCACAGAAUUCUCACAGUGAUGG